Lemur catta (Ring-tailed lemur) is the source of this 481-nucleotide long non-coding RNA. RefSeq lists it as uncharacterized. The transcript has 3 exons. The record is from RefSeq and is a predicted model, not a curated record. NCBI's taxonomy places the organism in Eukaryota, Metazoa, Chordata, Mammalia, Primates, Lemuridae.
CUCUGGAAUAUUUGUUUUCUGUCCCAGAUUCCCAGAUAAGCAGUGAGUUGCUGGCCUCGCUGGAGUGACCGCCGGAGGCGGGGACUGCGGGCGCCGGGUGACCUCAGGGGGCAGGCGCUGGGCCAUGCAGGGACUGGGCUACAUCUUUUCAGGAAAGAGUUACUGCUCUGGGAGUCAUUGCAGUUACUGGCAUUGGAAGAGUUAAGAUUUAACUAGUACAAUCUCAUAUACCUGCAAAAUCUCAUCAUGGCUGCUCUUUGCUGAGUACUGACAUUCUUGCGACUUGGCUGUAGCAUCCCAGCUUUGAGUUGUGGUCCUGCUGAGGAAAAAUUCUUGUCUGUAAGGUGCUUGUCUGUGGUUUCCUAGUGGGUUCCUUGCUAGUUCGGAGACUAUGACCACUGCUGAUGGAAUAUAUGCUCUGGAAAGAAUGCACCAAGGGAAGCGACGGAAAGUAACAUUUAUUAGUUUCCAAUUCUGGAUC